This 23-nucleotide non-coding RNA is filed under the name Arabidopsis thaliana (thale cress). Lineage: Eukaryota; Viridiplantae; Streptophyta; Magnoliopsida; Brassicales; Brassicaceae. The record is from RNAcentral.
UCUGUGGUAUAAGGUGGCUUGUG